UCCAGGCUCCGGGAACACAAAGCAA
Molecule: unclassified non-coding RNA, 25 nt
Filed under: Mus musculus (house mouse)
Lineage: Eukaryota; Metazoa; Chordata; Mammalia; Rodentia; Muridae
Description: oocyte_clustered_small_RNA13289
Source: RNAcentral